Molecule: ribosomal RNA, 217 nt
Filed under: uncultured bacterium
Lineage: Bacteria
Description: partial 16S ribosomal RNA
Rfam family: Bacterial small subunit ribosomal RNA
Source: RNAcentral
UAACCUGCCUCUUAGCGGGGGAUAACUAUUGGAAACGAUAGCUAAUACCGCAUAAAAGUCGACAUUGCAUGAUGUUGACUUGAAAGGUGCAACUGCAUCACUAAGAGAUGGACCUGCGUUGUAUUAGCUAGUUGGUGAGGUAACGGCUCACCAAGGCGACGAUACAUAGCCGACCUGAGAGGGUGAUCGGCCACACUGGGACUGAGACACGGCCCAG